RNAcentral lists this unclassified non-coding RNA (348 nucleotides) under soil metagenome. RNAcentral's name for it is "partial contains 5.8S ribosomal RNA, internal transcribed spacer 2, and large subunit ribosomal RNA". The stretch from base 1 to 120 matches the Rfam family "5.8S ribosomal RNA", at positions 35 to 154 of the family's 154-position model. The record is from RNAcentral.
GAUGAAGAACGCAGCGAAAUGCGAUAAGUAAUGUGAAUUGCAGAAUUCAGUGAAUCAUCGAAUCUUUGAACGCACAUUGCGCCCGCCAGUAUUCUGGCGGGCAUGCCUGUCUGAGCGUCAUUUCAACCCUCAUGCCCCUAGGGCGUGGUGUUGGGGAUCGGCCAAAGCCCGCGAGGGACGGCCGGCCCCUAAAUCUAGUGGCGGACCCGUCGUGGCCUCCUCUGCGAAGUAGUGAUAUUCCGCAUCGGAGACCGACGAGCCCCUGCCGUUAAACCCCCAACUUUCCAAGGUUGACCUCAGAUCAGGUAGGAAUACCCGCUGAACUUAAGCAUAUCAAUAAGCGGAGGA